This is a long non-coding RNA of Sinocyclocheilus rhinocerous, 492 nucleotides long. RefSeq lists it as uncharacterized. The record is from RefSeq and is a predicted model, not a curated record. Lineage: Eukaryota; Metazoa; Chordata; Actinopteri; Cypriniformes; Cyprinidae. The transcript is spliced from 3 exons.
UACCCUCCUCAUUUGCUCUCCAUUUAUUCUCCUUGUGUUUGCAGUCCCGGGCCAGUUCGUCAUCGUAUCUCCCUGGAUGUGUCGUGUCAAGAUCCUGCCUUGCCAGCCUGUUUUCCCCCCACGGGGUAGUUUUUGUUGUUUAUUUUGUUUUAUUUGAAUAAAAAGCCCUUAUUUCCUGCAAUAUUGAGUCCUCGCCUCAUCCCUUCAUCCCCAACCCUGACAGUACGAACUGGCCAAGAUGAGGACUCAGCAGAAGAAGGGUUUGCGUUGUCCACCAGCUUCCACUCUCUCCAGCCCCCACUACCAGCGCAUGCUCCAAUUUAAGACCUUGAGCUCCCUCCGUCAACAGGGGGCUGACGUGAGGAAUUUUGCCCUGGAGUUCAGCGGUGCUGCAGAGGGGUUGGGGUUUAAUGAUGCGGCCCUCAAGGACCUCUUUAAUUACGCCAUUGAUGAGCCCCUCAAUUGGUGGAGAAUGAGGGGGCUGGACCACCU